GAAAGGUUCCACAUGAACAGCGGUUGGACGUGGGUUAGUCGAUCCUAAGCCAUAGGGAAGUUCCGUUUCAAAGGGGCACUCGUGCCCCGCUUGGCGAAAGGGCAGCAGGUUAAUAUUCCUGCACCUGGAUGCGGGUUUUGCGCGGCAACGCAACCGAACGCGGAGACGACGGCGGGGGCCCCGGGCAGAGUUCUCUUUUCUUCUUAACGGCCCACCACCCUGGAAACAGUUUGUCUGGAGAUAGGGUUCCAUGGCCGGAAGAGCCCAGCACCUCUGCUGGGUCCGGUGCGCCCUCGACGUCCCUUGAAAAUCCGCGGGAAGGAAUAAUUCUCACGCCAGGUCGUACUCAUAACCGCAGCAGGUCUCCAAGGUGAACAGCCUCUAGUUGAUAGAACAAUGUAGAUAAGGGAAGUCGGC
RNAcentral lists this ribosomal RNA (417 nucleotides) under Prymnesium parvum. RNAcentral's name for it is "partial Eukaryotic large subunit ribosomal RNA". It matches the Rfam family "Eukaryotic large subunit ribosomal RNA", at positions 1501 to 1918 of the family's 3401-position model. The record is from RNAcentral. Lineage: Eukaryota; Haptophyta; Prymnesiales; Prymnesiaceae.